GACGAACGCUGGAGGCGUGCCUAAUAUAUGCAAGUAGAACGCUGAGGACUGGUGCUUGCACUGGUCUAAGGAGUUGCGAACGGGUGAGUAACGCGUAGGUAACCUACCUCAUAGCGGGGGAUAACUAUUGGAAACGAUAGCUAGUACCGCAUGACAAUAGGGUACACAUGUACCCUAUUUAAAAGGGGCAAAUGCUUCACUAUGAGGUGGACCCGCGUUGUAUUAGCUAGUUGGUAAGGUAACGGCUUACCAAGGCGACGAUACAUAGCCGACCUGAGAGGGUGAUCGGCCACACUGGGACUGAGACACGGCCCAG
RNAcentral lists this ribosomal RNA (316 nucleotides) under uncultured bacterium. Its description in RNAcentral is "bacterial SSU rRNA". It matches the Rfam family "Bacterial small subunit ribosomal RNA", at positions 28 to 334 of the family's 1533-position model. The record is from RNAcentral.